This 457-nucleotide ribosomal RNA is filed under the name uncultured bacterium. Its description in RNAcentral is "partial 16S ribosomal RNA". It matches the Rfam family "Bacterial small subunit ribosomal RNA", at positions 338 to 795 of the family's 1533-position model. The record is from RNAcentral.
CCUACGGGUGGCAGCAGUGGGGAAUAUUGCACAAUGGGGGAAACCCUGAUGCAGCGACGCCGCGUGAGUGAAGAAGCGUUUCGGCGCGUAAAGCUCUGUCAGCGGGGAAGAAACACGGUUCGCGAGAGCCGCGGACGGUACCCGACCAAGAAGCCCCGGCUAACUACGUGCCAGCAGCCGCGGUAAUACGUAGGAUGCGAGCGUUAUCCGGAUUUAUUGGGUUUAAAGGGUGCGUAGGCGGACUGUUAAGUCAGCGGUAAAAGCCCGGGGCUCAACCCCGGCGAGCCGUUGAAACUGGCUGUCUUGAGAUGUCGAGAGGUAUGCGGAAUGCGCAGUGUAGCGGUGAAAUGCUUAGAUAUUGCGCAGAACUCCGAUUGCGAAGGCAGCAUACCGGCGGCGAUCUGACGCUGAGGCACGAAAGCGUGGGUAUCGAACAGGAUUAGAUACCCGUGUAGUC